CACCACCCACCUUUGCGUUUUUGUGUUUUUAAAAUUUUAUUUUGAAACAGGGUCUUGCUAAAUUGCCCAGGCUAGCCUUGAACUUUGAAUCCUCCUACCCUCAACCUACCGGACUACCUGGAAGGACAGGACUACACCACCGCGCAGGCGCAGCAAUGUCUUUCUUAUUUAUUAAUUUACUUGUUUGUUUAUUUUACUGGGAGUUGAAUCCGGGGGCGUUCUACUACUGAGCUACACUCCUAUCCCCGCCCACCUUUUUGGGGGUAUGGGGUGGACAGAGGCUCACUAAAUUGCCCAGGCUCCUCCGGAAUUUGCGCUUCUCCUGCCUCAGUCUCUAGAGUCACUGAAAUCACUGGUGUUUGCUACCACGCCCAGCAGCGUUGUCAUUUUUAAAGAGGGGCGGAUCUCCAGGCUGAGCCAGUCUCAGCAAUUUGGCUAGACCUUGUCGCAAAAUUUAGAAAAGGUUUUGGAGAUGUGGCUCAGUGGUUAAAAAAAAAAAAAGUGGCGCGGGAGCUGUAAGGACCUUUUAGCUACCACAUCUGGUCCCCAUAGCACUUCAUCCAUCUACUAUAAACCCUUAUACCCCUGAAUUGAAUUUGUUUACAUAUCUGUUUUCCCCAUAUAACUAAGGGGAGGAAAGGUUUCUAAAUCAUUGCAGUUCUUUUUUUUUUAUUUUUUUAUUAGUUGCUCAAAACAUUACAAUGAUCUUGACAUAUCAUACAUUUGAUUCAAAUGGGGUACAUAAUCUUAUUUUUCCACGUGUACAGAUUGCAGGAUCACUUUGGUUAUACAGCCACGUUUAUACACAGGGCGAUACUAGUGUCUAUUGUAUUGUGCUACCAAUCAUUGCAGUUCUUGAGCCCAUUAGUAAACCUGACACACGGUAGGAGUUUAGAAAAGGUUUGACCAAACAAUAAUUUUAUCUUCCAAAGAUUGGGAGACAAACUAAUACGAUUUGGGUUAAUAAGAAUAUUCGAAGUCUGAUGCAGUGGAGCAUGCCUAUAAUCCUAACGACUCCUCAGGUUGAGGUAGUAAGAUCUCCACAUCCAAAAGCCAGCAUAGGCUACUUAGGAAGACCCUGUCUCAAAAUAAAAAAUAAAAAGGGGACUAAGUGGUAAAGUGUCCCUGCAUUCAAUCCCCAGUACCAAAAAUAAAUAAUAUUCAAAAAUGCUUUGUUCAAGAAUUAUAGGUAACCAUUGCAAGUUACAUACGAGUAAAAUUUUCAUAUCUCUAAAGGAAAAAAG
RNAcentral lists this long non-coding RNA (1244 nucleotides) under Marmota monax (woodchuck). Lineage: Eukaryota; Metazoa; Chordata; Mammalia; Rodentia; Sciuridae. The record is from RNAcentral.